Molecule: transfer RNA, 89 nt
Filed under: Oscillospiraceae bacterium
Lineage: Bacteria; Bacillati; Bacillota; Clostridia; Eubacteriales; Oscillospiraceae
Description: tRNA-Ser
Rfam family: tRNA
About the family: Transfer RNA (tRNA) molecules are approximately 80 nucleotides in length. Their secondary structure includes four short double-helical elements and three loops (D, anti-codon, and T loops). Further hydrogen bonds mediate the characteristic L-shaped molecular structure. tRNAs have two regions of fundamental functional importance: the anti-codon, which is responsible for specific mRNA codon recognition, and the 3' end, to which the tRNAs corresponding amino acid is attached (by aminoacyl-tRNA synthetases). tRNAs cope with the degeneracy of the genetic code in two manners: having more than one tRNA (with a specific anti-codon) for a particular amino acid; and 'wobble' base-pairing, i.e. permitting non-standard base-pairing at the 3rd anti-codon position.
Source: RNAcentral
GGAGGGUUGUCCGAGCGGUUUAAGGAGCCAGUCUUGAAAACUGGUGAUGGAGCAAUCCACCGUGAGUUCGAAUCUCACACCCUCCGCCA